AGAGAGAGAUGGAGAGUGAGAUCUGGAGCCUUCAGUAAAUCCUGCAGCCGCUUCUGGCAACAAAUGGCCACAAACCGAUCAAAGGUGAAAGUGACGGUGAACCAGACAGAGCAGUCAGUGGCUGCAUAAAGCAGGACGGCGUGGAUAUUACACACGGGGACGGAGUACAGGAAAUAAAACUGUUCCCGAUAAACAAUGGGAAUGUGUCUCAGGAUCAGGUCGAGGAUAAUGACCAGGAGAUCCGCCGCUGCCAUGGCCCCCAGUCGAUCAGAGGAACGACGAAUAAUUCUGAAUGGAUCUUUCAAGUGGGAAUCCUCUUCACUGGAAGUUUAUCGUGCCUCUAUGUUCACAUUGAUUGAA
This is a long non-coding RNA of Hemiscyllium ocellatum (epaulette shark), 360 nucleotides long. RefSeq lists it as uncharacterized. The record is from RefSeq and is a predicted model, not a curated record. The transcript is spliced from 3 exons. Lineage: Eukaryota; Metazoa; Chordata; Chondrichthyes; Orectolobiformes; Hemiscylliidae.